This 821-nucleotide ribosomal RNA is filed under the name uncultured bacterium. RNAcentral describes it as "bacterial SSU rRNA". It matches the Rfam family "Bacterial small subunit ribosomal RNA", at positions 1 to 779 of the family's 1533-position model. The record is from RNAcentral.
UGCAAGAAUUCGCCCUUAGAGUUUGAUCAUGGCUCAGGACGAACGCUGGCGGCGCGCUUAACACAUGCGAGUUGAACGCUCCGCCCUCUUCUGCCCUUCGGGGCAGAAGAGGAUUACGGAGAGUAGCGGACGGGUGAGUAACGCGUAGGUAACCUGCCCUGGAGAGGAGGAUAACCCUGCUAAAGCGGGGCUAAUCCUCCAUAUGUUAGGGGAUCGUAAGAUGCCUUAAUGAAAGGCGGCAUUAAGCCGUCGCUUCAGGAUGGGCCUGCGUCGGAUUAGCCAGCUGGUAGGGUAAAGGCCUACCAGGGCGACAAUCCGUAGCUGGUCUGAGAGGACGAUCAGCCACACUGGGACUGAGACACGGCCCAGACUCCUACGGGAGGCAGCAGUGGGGAAUCUUCCGCAAUGGGCGCAAGCCUGACGGAGCGACGCCGCGUGGGUGAAGAAGGCCUUCGGGUCGUAAAGCCCUGUCAGUGGGGAAGAAAGCAGACAUCAAGAAAAGGGUGUUUGUUGACGGUACCCGCAGAGGAAGCCCUGGCCAACUACGUGCCAGCAGCCGCGGUAACACGUAGAGGGCAAGCGUUGUCCGGAAUUACUGGGCGUAAAGGGCGCGCAGGCGGCAAGGCAAGUCGGGUGUGAAAACCUGGGGCUUAACCCCAGGCGUGCAUUCGAAACUGUCUUGCUUGAGGACAGCAGAGGGAAACGGAAUUCCUGGUGUAGUGGUGAAAUACGUAGAUAUCAGGAGGAACACCAGUGGCGAAAGCGGUUUCCUGGGCUGAUCCUGACGCUGAGGCGCGAAAGCCGGGGGAGCGAACGGGAUU